CUUGCGUUCUUCAGAAGAGGGAAAGAAAAGGGACAAGAAGAAGAAGAAGAAGAAAAGCGUGAAAUUUGCAGAGAAUGUGAAGGAUACAAAAGGGAACGGAGAAGUACAGAAGGGAGAAAGAGAAGUCUUUGUUUGCUAAUCAAGAGAAAGAGAAAUCAAUUACAAGAAUCUGCAGAAAUGAAAUCCCAGGAACUCAUGGAAUGCCAGCGAAUAGGAUUGCUCUCUACAAUGGAAUUCUAAGGGACCGUGUGCACCGGAUUGAUUGAAUGUUCAUAUUAAUCUCUGUACAAUUCUGUGUCCAAACUCCCAAUUCUGAUUUUUUUUUUUUAAAUGGAAAAUUUAUUGGGCGUAAAUAAUAC
Molecule: unclassified non-coding RNA, 359 nt
Filed under: Hevea brasiliensis (rubber tree)
Lineage: Eukaryota; Viridiplantae; Streptophyta; Magnoliopsida; Malpighiales; Euphorbiaceae
Source: RNAcentral